UUUAAUUUUUUUAUUUACAAGGGUUUCAAAUUUGAUUAUAGUUUUAAGUAGAGCUAAGAUGGUGUUAUCUAUUAUUGAUUCAUAUAGUGGGCAAUGUUUUUUUACCCCGGCAGUGUAUUGUUUGUAUAAAUUUUGUUCCAGAAUAAUCGGCUAGACUUUAUAAACUUAUACUCUAAUUAAUGUUAAUUUAGAGUUAUUUCGGUAUUGAUUUUUAAUUUUAGGGUGAAAUCAGAAAUUAUUUUUAUUUAAACUCUAAAUUUUAAGAUUUAGUAAACAAACCAGAUUAGUACCUGGUUAGAUAAAAUUUAAAAGAGCAGGAGUAAAGUUAUAUUUAAACUGUAAGAAUAUUGGCAGGUUUUUAAAUUAUCUUUGGAGGCUGAGUAGUGAUUGAGAGCCCUCAUUUUCAACUUUUUCUUUAGGCGCAUGUAUGAUCGUUUAUUUUAUUCUUAAGGAUUGUAAUUUUAGUCUUUGCUAUAAAAAUAGAUAGAUAUCUGGCUUAUGAGAAAGAUUUAAUUUGGCCUACAAUAAUUUAAUUUUUGGAUUCUAGUUUUAGAGGCUAGAUGAAAUUGUAAAAGACAGUAAGUUGCUUUUAAUGGGUAGCUGAAGUUUAUUUAAAAACGGUACAAAUCAUCCAUCAAUUGCCUAUAGGGGAGUAAGUUGUAGUAAAGUAGAGGUAGGGGAACCUGUCUCUAGUAAUUUUUU
This 702-nucleotide non-coding RNA is filed under the name Anisakis simplex (herring worm). Lineage: Eukaryota; Metazoa; Nematoda; Chromadorea; Rhabditida; Anisakidae. The record is from RNAcentral.